Long non-coding RNA from Astatotilapia calliptera (eastern happy), 1418 nucleotides. NCBI's taxonomy places the organism in Eukaryota, Metazoa, Chordata, Actinopteri, Cichliformes, Cichlidae. The record is from Ensembl.
GUUUAAACGUCACAGGCAAGUUAGAGAUCUUCCGUACUGAGAACCAAAUUCAUCCAGCAAGUGUGUUGUUGAUGUCACUAUGAGGAAGUGAGCAGGAAGUCAGUGCUGUAUUCAUCUUUGUUACUGCCUCACUUGUGAACGUGAGAGCAAGAGUAGAGACUGAGAGAGACGGAGAAGCACGAUGGCUGAGUUCAGAUGGAUUCAAAUGUUUCUGUUCCUGAUACUGACGCUUCAGUUUAAAGCAGUGACUGGACAACAUGGCCCCACAUUCCUGAUCAGACUUGGUGAUGAGGUCACUUUGCCUUGUCAAAAUGUGACAGUUGGUCAGCCUGAGUGUAACAGAACUGACUGGAUCUUCAGACGUUUGAAUGUUGCUGACGCAGUCAGGCUGAUUCAUCUUGGUUUGAUUGAAGAAAAGCACAAAAAUACAUCAGACAGACUGAGUGUUACAGCAAACUGUUCUCUGGUCAUAAAGGACAUCACAGUUCAUGAUGCUGGUCACUACACCUGCAGACACUACACAUCACAAGACCAACAACACUGUGGAAAAUCCUGUUCUUCUCUGUCCGUCAUCAACAUGACUGAACAUGAGAACAAUGGUACAGUCAUCUUGUCCUGCUCUGUGUUGGAGUAUGAUCCAUGUACACACACAGUACAGUGGAUCUAUGAGGGUGAAGAGAAAUCCUCAGACAUGCAGAUAUCACCACCAGGCUGCACUGCCACUGUGACAUUUACAACAUCUCACCUUAAUCAGAAGUUUUUUGAGUCAUUAAAGUGUAAUGUGAUGAAUAUGAACAAUGGGAAAGUGCAGCUGUUUCCUUUCAGCCGUCAGUCCUCAGGUGGGACAACAGGUUCAUCAUUGCUGUAUAUUAUUGUUCUUGCAUGUUUAGUAGCACUCUUAAUUAUUGUAGCAUUCGUCAUAUGGAAGAAAAUGAAAGGGAAAAAAACACAAAGGGAAGACAAUGCUGUUGGUUUAAACACUGAAGGAUUAGGUUUAAACCCAGCUGAGAUUCAGUCUGAUCCAGGAAACAGUCAGGAGAUGGAUGAUCUUGAGGAUGGUGUUAACUAUGCUUCCAUCAACUACACUAAGAAGGCCAACAGUAAGGCCAGUGCUCAGGUCCACGAUGAUGAAGGUACCACUGUGACAUACAGCACAGUGAAAGCUCCCUCAGCUUCUCUUGAAGUCUCCACUGAUCCCAGCAACCUGUAUUCCACCAUCACCAAAUAAGAUACUGUAUUUAAAGAUUACAUGUUUUAAUACUGUUAUUUGGAUCUUAUAUUUAGAGUUAUAUCGUCUACUUCAACAUUACAUGGGUAUACUGAAGGGUUUAUAAAAUAAAUCUAGUUUAUUUUACUGUCUAUUUUGUUUAUUUGUUGUUUAUGGUUUUGGAAAAUAAAUAAAUUAAUGAAUAAUUAAA